GCAGGAGUGCUUGAGCAUGGUCGAAGAGGGCAGACUAAGAAUCUGUCGCCAUAGGGCUAACAUCGUAGGUUCGAAUCCUACCUCCUGCACCA
RNAcentral lists this transfer RNA (92 nucleotides) under Thermoplasmata archaeon. Its description in RNAcentral is "tRNA-Leu". It matches the Rfam family "tRNA". Rfam says of the family: Transfer RNA (tRNA) molecules are approximately 80 nucleotides in length. Their secondary structure includes four short double-helical elements and three loops (D, anti-codon, and T loops). Lineage: Archaea; Methanobacteriati; Thermoplasmatota; Thermoplasmata. The record is from RNAcentral.